Molecule: ribosomal RNA, 492 nt
Filed under: uncultured bacterium
Lineage: Bacteria
Description: partial 16S ribosomal RNA
Rfam family: Bacterial small subunit ribosomal RNA
Source: RNAcentral
AGUGAACGCUGGCGGUAGGCCUAACACAUGCAAGUCGAACGGCAGCACAGUAAGAGCUUGCUCUUACGGGUGGCGAGUGGCGGACGGGUGAGGAAUACAUCGGAAUCUACUUUUUCGUGGGGGAUAACGUAGGGAAACUUACGCUAAUACCGCAUACGACCUACGGGUGAAAGCAGGGGAUCUUCGGACCUUUCGCGAUUGAAUGAGCCGAUGUCGGAUUAGCUAGUUGGCGGGGUAAAGGCCCACCAAGGCGACGAUCCGUAGCUGGUCUGAGAGGAUGAUCGGCCACACUGGAACUGAGACACGGUCCAGACUCCUACGGGAGGCAGCAGUGGGGAAUAUUGGACAAUGGGCGAAAGCCUGAUGCAGCAAGACCGCGUGGGUGAAGAAGGCCUUCGGGUUGUAAAGCCCUUUUGUUGGGAAAGAAAAGCAGCAGAUUAAUACCCCGCUGUUCUGACGGUACCCAAAGAGAAAGCAACGGCUAACUUCGUG